GGCCGCCUAGCUCAGUUGGUUAGAGCGUCGUGCUAAUAACGCGAAGGUCUUGGGUUCGACCCCCACGGUGGCCA
Gymnopilus junonius is the source of this 74-nucleotide non-coding RNA. The record is from the annotation of a GenBank genome assembly. NCBI's taxonomy places the organism in Eukaryota, Fungi, Basidiomycota, Agaricomycetes, Agaricales, Galerinaceae.